UACGUAGGGGGCAAGCGUUGUCCGGAAUCAUUGGGCGUAAAGAGCGUGUAGGCGGUCCGGUAAGUCGGCUGUGAAAGUCCAGGGCUCAACCCUGGGAUGCCGGUCGAUACUGCCGGACUAGAGUCCGGAAGAGGCGAGUGGAAUUCCCGGUGUAGCGGUGAAAUGCGCAGAUAUCGGGAGGAACACCUAUGGCGAAGGCAGCUCGCUGGGACGUUACUGACGCUGAGGUGCGAAAGCGUGGGGAGCAAACAGG
Molecule: ribosomal RNA, 253 nt
Filed under: uncultured bacterium
Lineage: Bacteria
Description: partial 16S ribosomal RNA
Rfam family: Bacterial small subunit ribosomal RNA
Source: RNAcentral